Pelodiscus sinensis (Chinese soft-shelled turtle) is the source of this 2620-nucleotide long non-coding RNA. RefSeq lists it as uncharacterized. Lineage: Eukaryota; Metazoa; Chordata; Testudines; Trionychidae. The record is from RefSeq and is a predicted model, not a curated record.
CAUUCAGGGUUUUUUUUUUUUAAUUUCCCCCAGAGUUGGCUAACAUGGAAAGCAUUGCUAUUCUACAGGGAAGACCCUGCUGAAAAGACCAAUGUUUCUUGGAGCAUUUUCAAAUUCCCGUGGUCUGCCUGCCGAGAUGGCACAGCUUGUGUUGAAUUCUAUGAAAUCUUGUGAAAGUUUUGUAUUCUUACAGAAUCCUAAUACCUGUAGAUUAUUAUUCUUCAAGUGAAGGAAAGUCAGAGCUUGCCCUGAAUCGCUUUGGGUGGAGAAAGACAGCAUUGCUAAUGGAUGCAAAGUAGAUAUGCACCUAGGCUGCUGCAGAGGUUAGGAGGGCUUCACGUUGAAGUAAAAUGUCCUGACACAUACCUUAUUGUACUCUCUGAUUUUACAAGCCGCACAUUUGGCCACUCUACUCCAAUAUUAAGCCUUUCUAACCUUCACCACGGCCUGAUUCAUUUACUUGGAAGAGCCCAGUUGUGAAGGAAAGAGAAUGGAAGUAUUGCUGCCUCCACAUUAUUGUGCUUUGACCUCAAUGAAUCACCUGAAGAAGUCUGGUGUAUGUGAUGAAGGAGAAUUGUUCUCUUACUAUUCUCAAGAUUUAUGAAAAAAACAUGCUGAGUUUAUCAUGCUACACAUUGCCACAUGCCACAUUGUGGAACCCUGCCUUGUAGUAGGGCCUGGGUCCAAGUGCAGCUGAAGAAGGCAGAGUGCCAACAAGGCUCGAAAAAGCCUGGGUAAAGGUAGCAUUGCACCUCCACAAAUCUUGAGUUUUAAGAGACAGAACCUCCACUGAUUGGUUCCACUGGAUAUGGGACAAACCCUGUGUCUCUGAUGGAGGAAUUCCAGGGAUGCUUCCCAAGUGGAAACUUGCUGAACUUUCCAGCCUUCACACAGGAGUAGCCUGCCUAUUGGGAAAAUCUGUUACAGUACAAAAUAAAGUAAAAGGACAAACCUCAAGGUUAAAAAAACAGUUACCACAAAAAGCACUUCCCAAAAGGGCAAAAAAGCCUGGCACUGUCAAGAGGAAAGCAAACAAGCAAUCAGAUACAUAAAGUAAUUACUAUAAUAGGAAAAAAUGUAACGGUUUAAGUCCCCGACUGGAUGCUAUACAGUAACUCUGUACUUCUUCUUGAAAAAGAUAAUCCCCUACAUCAUCCAUUGUCAUUAGUUCUAGAAUUUAAAGCAUUUAUUCCAACUUAACUGCAAUACUUUUUGCCUGAAGCAUACUGCUCUGCCUCAGAAAUGAAAAAGUGAUUUAGAUUGCUUGAGCUCUGGGCCACUGAGGGCUGGAUAUUGUCCCCAAAGCUCAGCCUACCCACUGAAGGGCAAGAUAAAUGCCAACAAAAUACAGACAAAAAAGCUAUUGUGCUUUAACACAGUUAUGGAGAAAGGCAAAUAUUACAAAAGGAGAUAUGGAUAUAUUAUUUCUCAUCCAACAGAAAAUACAACUGAAAUGAGAUAAAUAAGUGGACUAAAACCAUGAUAAAAGCAACUGCUACCUCAAUUAAAGUCAGCAAGGUGGUAAUUAUCAGGGAUGUAACUGAAGGUACCGCAAAUCAAUACUAGGUAAAAGUGGCUAAACAGAUGGCUCAUCCUCUCUGGACCUUCACGAAGAAUAUGUGACCUGAAGUUCACUUGGCAAAAUCCUAACCAUGCAAUUCCAUUGAUGAUAGUUUUCAUACAAGCUGCAGAUUAUACCACCCCAAGAGGAAGAAAACUGCUGCUCUGGCAGCAAUUUCCAGCAAGAGAAACUGAGGUUAAAGGCAACACAAGAGUAGAGUAACAGCCACAAUCUAAUAAAGAGGCAGUUGGGAGCUUUGAAGUGCACAAAGUAACAGUACAAAACUUUACACUGAAUACAUGAAUAUCAAAUUAAACUCCAAGAAAAUAUCUGAGGCAAGAUCUGCUAAAAAGAUCAAACAGUAACCUAGUUUAGCCAAAGACACACGUUAUGUAAGAGUACAUAUGUCCUACACAGGUUAUGCUCAAUUAUUCUGAAUUAAGGCCCAAUGCAAGGGCAUGUAUAGCUGGAAUUAUAGUAGCAGUAGAAGGGGUGUGUACAUAUUAUGGUAAAAGCCCUUCUUUAUGGGGGGAGGCACAGACUACAGAUCUGCUAAAGACAGGAUCAGAAGAGCAAAAGAGUCACAUGGAUUGUAAGCUUUCUGGGACAAGGAUUUUGUCUGUGUCAAGACCACCAAAUCAUUUUGGAAUCACACACUAUAUAUGUAAAUACAAUGAACCUUUCCUGCAUCAGCUCUACAGACCUAGGCAUGGAUGCAGCCCAUCUACUGUAUCAAGACACUGAGAUAAGCAUUUGGCCCUAAGAGAAAUUAAUGUUUCAUUUAACAGGAUGGAAGAUUAAAGAAUAAUAAUAAAAAAAGGAACAAAGUAAGGGAGCUCGGUUCCAAAAGACAAAACAGCCAACAGACUAUGCCUGAAUAACUAACCUUCUCCUAAUGAUGUCUUAUAGAGCAUUUCUUCCCUUAAGGUUCAUUUUGGUUUCUGACUACUUUGUGACUUUUUUGCAGAAACCCAAACUGGUAUAUAACUUUUUAUCAGAGUUGUCAUUAAUUGAGAACAGCACUUACAUAAUUUACUCUGAUUAAACAACUGAAUAUUA